UUGCCGGUGAUUUAGCCGUAUGUGUACCACCCGAUCCCAUUCCGAACUCGGAAGUGAAAAUGUACGGUGCUGAUGAUAGUUUAGGCGAAAGUAGGUUUCGCCGGCAU
This 107-nucleotide ribosomal RNA is filed under the name Parcubacteria group bacterium GW2011_GWB1_43_8b. The record is from RNAcentral.